CCAAUAGCGUAUAUUAAAGUUGUUGCAGUUAAAAAGCUCGUAGUUGAAUUUUGGGUUUGGCCGAUUGGUCCGUUCUUGUAGCGAGUACUGGUCGGUUGGGCCUCACCGCUUGGGGAAGGGUAAUGUCCUUUAUUGGGUGUUGCUCGGAGCCAAGACCUUUACCUUGAAAAAAUUAGAGUGUUUAAAGCAGGCUUAUGCCGGAAUACAUUAGCAUGGAAUAAUAGAAUAGGACAACGAUUCUAUUUUGUUGGUUUCUAGGACCGUUAUAAUGAUUAAUAGGGAUAGUUGGGGGCAUUAGUAUUCAAUUGUCAGAGGUGAAAUUCUUGGAUUUAUUGAAGACUAACUACUGCGAAAGCAUUUGCCAAGGAUGUUUUCAUUAAUCAAGAACGAAAGUUAGGGGAUCGAAGACGAUCAGAUACCGUCGUAGUCUUAACCAUAAACUAUGCCGACUAGGGAUCGGGCGAUGUUGUUUCAAUGACUCGCUCGGCACCUUAUG
Molecule: unclassified non-coding RNA, 496 nt
Filed under: uncultured Archaeospora
Lineage: Eukaryota; Fungi; Glomeromycota; Glomeromycetes; Archaeosporales; Archaeosporaceae
Description: SSU rRNA
Rfam family: Eukaryotic small subunit ribosomal RNA
Source: RNAcentral